CACCGCUACACCUGGAAUUCUACUCCCCUCUCACCUACUCUAGUUAUCCAGUAUCAGAUGCAGUUCCCAGGUUAAGCCCGGGGCUUUCACAUCUGACUUAAAUAACCACCUACGCGCGCUUUACGCCCAGUAAUUCCGAUUAACGCUUGCACCCUCUGUAUUACCGCGGCUGCUGGCACAGAGUUAGCCGGUGCUUAUUCUGUGGGUAACGUCAGGGCUUAUGGGUAUUAACCAUAAGCUUUUCCUCCCCACUUAAAGUGCUUUACAACCAAAAGGCCUUCUUCACACACGCGGCAUGGCUGGAUCAGGCUUUCGCCCAUUGUCCAAUAUUCCCCACUGCUGCCUCCCGUAGGAGUCUGGGCCGUGUCUCAGUCCCAGUGUGGCUGAUCAUCCUCUCAGACCAGCUACAGAUCGUCGCCUUGGUAGGCCUUUACCCCACCAACCAGCUAAUCCGACUUAGGCUCAUCUAAUAGCGAGAGCUAAAAGCCCCCUUUCACCCGUAGGUCGUAUGCGGUAUUAGCUUGGGUUUCCCCAAGUUAUCCCCCACUACUAGGCAGAUUCCUAAGCAUUACUCACCCGUCCGCCACUAAGUAUCA
Molecule: ribosomal RNA, 596 nt
Filed under: Moraxella catarrhalis
Lineage: Bacteria; Pseudomonadati; Pseudomonadota; Gammaproteobacteria; Moraxellales; Moraxellaceae
Description: partial 16S ribosomal RNA
Source: RNAcentral